UACGGGGGGAGCAAGCGUUGUUCGGAUUACUGGGCGUAAAGGGCGCGUAGGCGGCGUGACAAGUCACUUGUGAAAUCUCAGAGCUUAACUCUGAACGGUCAAGUGAUACUGUCGUGCUAGAGUGCAGAAGGGGCAACUGGAAUUCUCGGUGUAGCGGUGAAAUGCGUAGAUAUCGAGAGGAACACCUGAGGUGAAGACGGGUUGCUGGGCUGACACUGACGCUGAAGCGCGAAAGCCAGGGAGCAAACGGG
RNAcentral lists this ribosomal RNA (251 nucleotides) under uncultured bacterium. Its description in RNAcentral is "partial 16S ribosomal RNA". It matches the Rfam family "Bacterial small subunit ribosomal RNA", at positions 524 to 776 of the family's 1533-position model. The record is from RNAcentral.